This 1282-nucleotide long non-coding RNA is filed under the name Triticum aestivum (bread wheat). RNAcentral's name for it is "long non-coding RNA (TAES_LNC015767)". The stretch from base 707 to 831 matches the Rfam family "MIR1120/MIR1122 microRNA precursor family". The record is from RNAcentral. Lineage: Eukaryota; Viridiplantae; Streptophyta; Magnoliopsida; Poales; Poaceae.
GGAAGAUCAAAGGAGGAUGGAUGAGUGCAUCACUACAGUACUGCCCUGUUUCUCCUUGUUGGCAGCGCUGACUCGAUUUCAUACGAAAGGAGGAUGAGUGCAUCACUACACUUUUUCGUAGGUACAUGGGUUUCAGUAGUUUCGGCCUCUUUCAAGUCAUCAUGUAGUUUCCAUACGAAACCUUUCACUUUCAGUUCAUAAGAAGCAAAAGAAAGUUAUUCAGUACCUUGCAAUUAUUUCGUGAUUAUUAGCCUAUCGGCUGAACCAAAUAUGGCGAGGCGCUCCUGUGCGGGCAGGUAAUUUUGACGUCAUAAGAUCUGCUACUGCUGAUUUCUUCCUGCUGGAAAUGUGUCAUAAUGUGUUGUCACAGCACACUGCUUGAUGCAUUGUCUGGAGUAGCACACACUGCUGGGACCAUAGUUUUAGUCAUUCAGUCUAAGCAGCAGUUCAAAAUUCAGUCUAAGCAGUCUAAGCAGUCUAAGUCCGUGUCAACAAGACCGGCUGGGUUUGUGAUGACUAGGUUGCUAGCACAGCCUCGUGGAUGCAAUGCUCCUCUGGUUUCUUCCUAUCUCGCCAAUUGAAUUGUUUGGGCUAAGAAAAUGUACUCUCUUUGGAUCUGUGAUGCCAUCAGUUUCUGCUAUGAAGUAGUGAUUCUUACAUGGUUUCCAUACGUCAAAUUGUGCCUUAUGUGACCUUUUGCUUUAUUGUAGUACUCCCUCCGUUCAGAAAUACUUAUCCGAGGAAUGGAUGUAUCUAGAUGUAUUUUAGUUCUAGAUACACCCAUUUAUAUCCAUUUCCACGACAAGUAUUUCCAAACGGAGGGAGUAUUAAUUAUUGUAAGAUGCAGAUUUUUAGAAAUAUCAAGGAUUGUGUGAUGCUUGAUUAGGCCUAAAACCUUUAUCUUGCCAAAUUUCUGUACACAUGGUGACCUUUCCGUCCUUUUUCUACUUCUAGGAUAUGAUGUUGGUUCUGAAAUUAUGAUCAUAUAUUUAUGAAGUUCUAUUUUUCUUCUUCAGCUCGUGUCUCUAUGCUUAUCCAAAUAACUGAUUCUUUUUAUUUUGUUGAUCAGGUACUUCAUGGCAGUGUUGUGGACAACAUCACCAUAACCACAUUGAUGGUCCAAGCCCCAGCUCACAACAUCCUUUUUAGUUGGGCUGUGAGCACCUCACACUAGUAGAAAAGGGGCCAAUGGUCUAGGCCGGUCCAGCCCAUUAGUCCCGGUUCAACCCAGAACCGGGACCAAUGGGGGCAUUGGACCCGGUUCGUGAGCCCCGGGGGCCGG